This 2594-nucleotide unclassified non-coding RNA is filed under the name Hevea brasiliensis (rubber tree). The record is from RNAcentral. Lineage: Eukaryota; Viridiplantae; Streptophyta; Magnoliopsida; Malpighiales; Euphorbiaceae.
CAAAAUUGCGUCAUCACGCUCACAAUAUAUUUGAUAAAAAGCCGACGGGAGUCCAAGCCCACGAGGAAGAAUCAAUGCCCCUCAGUUUGUUCAUUCCCCUACUGAUUUAUCAAACAAUGAAGUUGAGAUUUUAUUUUGCAGUUUCAGUUCAUCAAACAAUCAAACUUCCCCUUUUUUCUAUGUUUAUGUUUCCUAACGGUUACCAGAAUUUUCCACUCCAAUAAUAUCAUUCAUCUCUUCAGUCAGCUCUCGUAAAAUUACUUCUGAUAAAAUAGAAAAACAAACUCCACUUGUUAUAUGGCAGAUGUAAUAUAUGAUGCAUUUAGUGAAGAAACAUAUGCCGUCAUAUAUUAACUCAGAUCGUUGCCUUCAAUUAGCUAGUUGCUUGCAGCUGCAAUUGUAUGAUCUGUGUGUUGAGAUAAACUUUAAUAAGAAUCAAGUCUAUUAACCACCAAGACCAUAUUGCGUCAUCAAAGCCAGCACUGUAAAUCCUUCUAUCAUGUCAACUUCAUCUGCGCAAAAGCGGCUGCCAAAUCCAUAGCCUUCUCAACAUGUACUCCAUCUGUUCCCUGGCCUGUGGCAAGACCCCCCUUUCCUUUACCACACCUCCCAUUCAGCGGCUCCAAUGCAGCAGUUAACCACUCAGACACCUCCAGCUUUUUGCUGAUGUCCGACUUUUCUGGCACUCCCGCACACACCACAACCUUGUUUGUAGUUUCAUCCAAACUGAAAACCAUAAUUGAAAGCCCCUUCGCCAAGACUUUCAUAGCUGCCUCACGGACUGCAGCUGCAUCUAAACCAACAUUAACACGAGAAAUGCAGAAUUCAUUCCCUUCUGAAGCAGCAACUUCAGCCAUCUCUGUUGCAACCUUGACAGCCUUCUGCAUAUUUUCUUCAGCAAUCUUCUUUUGUGCUUUUCUUACUUGAUUCUGAAGUACAGAAAUCCUAGACCUAAUGUCAGCUUUCUUGGCUGCUGGAAUAGGUGCCGAGUCCACGCGACUUUUUAAAGAGGCUACUUUCUUUUCCAGCAAGCUUCCUUCUGUCUUGGAUGUCUCAUCAACCUCCUGCUCAAGUGAUGAUGCUAGUUCCAUAGCCUUAAAAGCACUAUCAGUUGUCACAGCAGUUAUUCUUCGAAUUCCUUUUGCAAUUCCCUCCUCUGAUAACAGAGCAAAUGCCUUUGCUUCCCUUGUAUUUGAAAUAUGUGUCCCUCCACAGAGUUCUGCUGAGAUUGACAGCCACUCAUUAUUUUCUGGAUCGGCUAGGAGGUCCUCAACUUUUCGACCAAUUGCCACAACUCUAACUGGGUCCGGAUAGACUUCUCCAAAAACAGCUCGUAAACCAUUGAUAUGCUUGGCUUCAGAAAGAGUUGCUUCCUUUGCAGAUACUUCUAAUUCUGCUUUGAUUUGCUCAUUCACAAUUGACUCAAUCUUUCUCAAAUGGUCAGGAUCCACUGGCUUGCCAUGAGAAAAAUCAAAUCUUAAUUUUUCAGGAAGAACAAUCGAUCCCUUCUGAUCAACAUGAUUGCCAAGCACUUCCCUGAGAGCAAAAUUCAACAUGUGUGUACAAGUAUGGUUUGGAGCAAUGAGUUUACGCCUAUCAUAGUCAACCUUACAGAUAACUUUAUCACCCACGCAGAAUUUGCUGCCUCCUUCAGUAAGAGAACCAAUAUGAAGAAUAAAUCCUCCAAAAAUUUGGACAUUGGAAACUUGGAAUGACCCAAAAGUGCCUUCAAUUGUUCCAGUAUCAAAAAUCUACAACCAGAAGAGUAAGACUCAUAAGAUACAAAAACGAUAGAAGAAAGAGGUCUGCUUGGGUUUAAACUUUAAAGAAAUAAAAGUGUACUGCAGCAUCAUCUUGGCAAGCAGUUAACAUGUUACUCUGCCUAUAAAUUCAACAAAUUUUUCCUGCACAACUUGAAACCCAUAUGCCCAUCAAUUAUAAUUUGACACAUCUCAUUGCAAGUAUGAAAACCAAUUCUAACGACAAUACCUGGCCACCUUGCUCAGCAUAGAAACUAGUGGAUUCCAAAACUAUACCAACUUCAUUGCCAGUGGUAGAACUUUCCAAGAACUUAGAACCGGUGUAGAUGGCUUUUAUUACACUUUCAUGGUCCUGGUACCAUAUAAAUUUAUAGGAAUCUUCUGUUACAGAAACACCCUUCUUGUGCAUCACAGAUGUAGCAUCAGCAUCCAUGACAAUAUUGCAACCAGCUUGCUGCCAAGAAUAUUGGCAAGGAAAGGCCACACACCAAAUAUCCAGUCAGUUUCUUACACGUACAAAAUUUUGCUCCUUUGGUAUCACCUUUUAGCCGAUUAAUUAUACUAAUUUUUUUCCUGGUCUUAUUGCAUUAGACUAAUAUGUUAGGAAAGGCAUUUGGCAAGCAACUCUAUCGAGUUAUAUUAACAACAAAUUCACAAAAGCAGAAGAGACAAAGCAAAGUCCAAAUACCUUAUUUUGGGCAUUCCUUGAUCUUUCCCUUGCCUCAUCCAUGGCAUUAUUGAAACCCUCAAUAUCAACUCGUAAUCCUCUUUCUUCUGCCAUCAACUGCGUCAAAUCUAAUGGGAAGCCAUAUGUGUCCCACAAGACAAAUGCAU